This 807-nucleotide ribosomal RNA is filed under the name Triticum aestivum (bread wheat). Its description in RNAcentral is "partial small subunit ribosomal RNA". Lineage: Eukaryota; Viridiplantae; Streptophyta; Magnoliopsida; Poales; Poaceae. The record is from RNAcentral.
AUGCUCACAUUAGUCCCGGUUCGUAAUGCAACCGGGAUUAAUGCUCUUUUCUGGCCAUGGAAUCUACUGCCGGAGGAUCUGGAAAAGAAGGUCUCUUACAUCUUUAAGGCGGCCACUUCUAUCCACUUGGGGGACGGCAAGAGGGCUUAAUUCUGGACGGACAAGUGGCUACCAGGAGGGAACUGCAUACAGGAUGUGGCUCCUGCCUUAUUCUCUUUUGUGAAGGACUCGGAAAAAUCUGUCAAGGAUGCUCUGUGCAACAGCAAUUGGAUUAGGGAUAUCUCUGGAGGCAUUUCGGUACAGGCUAUGGCUCAAUAUCUUAAAAUUUGGGACAUUGCGCGAAGUACUUCAUUGUCGGUGGAAGCUACAGAUAGACUGGUUUGGAAGUGGACUGGAGAUCACAAAUUCUCUGUUAGUAGUGCGUAUGGUUUGUUCUUUGCAGGGAAUGUGCGCUUUGCAUGCCAUGGGCCGAUUUGGAAAUCCAAAGCACCACCAAGAUGCAACUUUUUUAUGUGGCUUGUCGUCCACCGUAGGUGUUUAACAGCGGAUAAUCUGGAACGCAGGGGUUGGCCUUCUAAUGGAUCUUGCCCGCUAUGCCUCUCGGCACACGAAGAUUGCACACAUCUGUUUGUGCACUGCUGUUUCUCUCAGCAGGUUUGGAUAAAAUUCAGGGAUUGGACGAGGGCAGCCUUUCAGACUCCAGAUGAUAGCUUUGGUACUACGGAGGACUGGUGGCUGUAUACGAGGAAGGAAGUCCUCAAGACGGAACGACGUAAUUUUGACACUAUCGCAAUCCUGCUACACUAA